UGCUUAUUGCACAUUUUCUCUGGAAUAGUCCUUGUGUCAAGCACUGGGGAUAUAGAUAUACACAAAACUUAAUCCCUUCUUUAAAGAUUUUAGUAUCUAGGAAGCAAGAUUGUACCCUGGUGCCUACACUGUAUGGUAAGUGCACUGUCAGAACUGAGCCCAGAGUCAUGGGGAGACAGAAGGGAUCCUGGACUCCAUUUGUUUGUGGAAUGGAGAUCCCAUGGGGGCUAUGAUGCACUUGAAGAUGAGUCAGUAUUGACCAGGGUGACAGAGAGAGUCACCAAGAAGUGGAAGGGUAUGAUCAAAGGUGAAGAGCAAGGAAUGGCCUGGUUGGUCAGGAAACUACAAGUGGUUCCACAUUGCUGGAAUGUGUAUUUGGGGCAGGAAUGUUGAAAUGGAUAAUGAAGUUGGAGACUUCAGUAGAACAAGGUUGUGAAGAACUUUGGAAAGCAUAUUAAUGAGCUAUGUCUUUAUCCUAAACAUAAUGGAGAGUUACUAUAGCCUUUGAAGCAGAUGACUGUGAGUCUUACUCAUGGGAAGAUUAAGAAUAUGCCUUAAAUAACAUACCAGAAAAAUGUUACAAUGCAAACACUGCUAGUCUGAAUGUGGGAACCUAGACUGGGUUGCACUUCUGGGUCUGCUAUAUGGAUUGUCUCAGGGAACUCAGCAAGUCCUCUUAUCCUCUGAACUCAGAAUUCUCCCUGUAUAACAAGGGGUAUAGUAUCAAUCAUUACAAGGAUCCUGAAGAGCAACGCCAUGAUUUGGCAUUACCCUGGGUUUCUUGUGAGAAAAUAUAUCUGCGUUUGCCAAGGCAGUAUUUGCCUCACAACACGUUGGUGGACUUCUGUUUUUUCUGUGUCCUGCAUUACAAAAUAACACAAGUCCUCUAAAUUACCUGAAGUCUGGGCUACAUUGGCCCAUGAAGCUCCCUUUUCUUUGCUAUUUCUAUCAAUUAUCAUUACUUAUUUUCUUAUGAAGCUUGUUGUGGCUACUGUAAGACAGGUCCCUAAAGAGGAGUCUUGAAGACUAAAUAUGGAAGCAUAUAGCCUCUGAAACCCAUGUCUCAGUGAGUCCACUCAUUAUUUAAGGAGGGCCCCCGUGUCCAUUCUUUCUCUAUAUGGGGUAUUUCUUAGUAGAAGAAAGCACAGCUCUGCUUCCUCUUUCAUGUGCAUUCCUGACCACACUACCUCCUUCCUCUUGCAUCCUUCCUUUAAGAUGACUGCCUGUGUUCUCAUUGCAGAGCUCCUCUGAUAAGGCAUCCAUUCUGGCCAUUCUUCAGGUCCUUGGAGAUCUGCUUUCUGUUGGCACGGACAAGAGGAUUCAUUACAUGAUUAGCAAGGGCGGCAGUGAAGCCCUUCUGCAGACCCUGGUGGACACUGUGAGGACUGAGUCUCCUGACUACGACAUCCUCCUGCCUCUAUUCCGGCUGCUGGUCAAAGUUGGCCUACGAGAUAAACAGUUUGGACAGAAGGCACUGGAAUUGGAAGCACUUGAUGUGACAUUGAUUCUGGCCAGGAAAAACCUGUUCCAUAGCCAGAACCUGCUGCACUGUCUCUGGGCUCUGCGUGUUUUUGCUUCCAGCGGUAAGUGACGCUAUUGUGGACCACUGGGAUGUGGCUGGGAUGCCUGGAAACCAUGUGGGGGUUUGGUGGAGUGAAAAUGUGAGUGGAGGAUAUAUGUGGUCCCAAUCAUAUAAAUAAAGGAACCUGACAAUCCAGAGCCCAUGGAGGUAAGUUGUUUCUUCAUCUCUUACUUAGCCAGCUGGAGCUCUUGAGCCAUUUCCUAGAGAUAGAUUUUGAUAUUGGUUUUCCCCAAGAGUAACCUAUUACAGCAUGCCAUGUUUCUGUAUUAGUGCUAUCAGGUGAAGAAGACCCAUGACAGAAGAAAGGCAGACUUUCUUUAGUUCUUAUCAUAUCCAAGACCCAGUGUUAUGUGUU
Molecule: non-coding RNA, 1937 nt
Organism: Castor canadensis (American beaver)
Lineage: Eukaryota; Metazoa; Chordata; Mammalia; Rodentia; Castoridae
Source: RefSeq, a predicted model, not a curated record